CAGUGUUGCCCCUUUGCAGGAUUUAAGAGGAAAUGGAUGGAGAACCCAAGGUACCCAAGCUUUGGGAAAUUCUGGCCCAGGAUCUUAUUCAGCAGAUGAACUUGCAGUGUGCUGCAGCAGGUAAAGAUAUAGGGGAUGAUUCCCUGAAGCUAAAGAGAAACAAGGAACGUGGAAGUCAGUCAGCUACACAACCACAGUGUCACACAAAUUGGGCUAUCAGCUCCUCUCUGCUGGAGAUGGCGAAGGAGAAUGGGAGCUGUGGGAACAGAUCCAGGGGACAGAAGCCCACAGAGAUCUUCCCCAGAAGAUGAGUGGAGCAGAUCAGAGAUGGGAAUAAAGGAGCUGUCACCAACCACAGCCUUCUCCCUGCUCUGCACAGUGAAUGCACAGGACACAGAUCAGAAGGUGUUCCCCCCUGUGUCAGGAUCCUGCCUACCAAGAAAACCCACUGCUGGCCAUGCCCUGCCCACAGGGAGGGGAAAAGGAGGCUCCACACUGCCAGGCUAUGAUGCAGAAAUGUGAGAAGGAAAGCCAAACCUGUGUGAGGCAAAUAUAGUCUGUGGGAGUAACUCUGUAGGCCACUAAAUUUCAAAAAUGCCAUUCAAUAAAAUUUGUGAAGUA
Non-coding RNA from Cyanistes caeruleus (blue tit), 621 nucleotides. The record is from RefSeq and is a predicted model, not a curated record. Lineage: Eukaryota; Metazoa; Chordata; Aves; Passeriformes; Paridae.